Molecule: ribosomal RNA, 468 nt
Filed under: uncultured bacterium
Lineage: Bacteria
Description: partial 16S ribosomal RNA
Rfam family: Bacterial small subunit ribosomal RNA
Source: RNAcentral
GACGAACGCUGGCGGCGUGCUUAACACAUGCAAGUCGAACGGAAAGGCCCUGCUUUUGUGGGGUUCUCGAGUGGCGAACGGGUGAGUAACACGUGUGUAACCUCCCCUUGACUUUGGGAUAACUUCUGGAAACUGGGGCUAAUACCGGAUAGGAGCUCUUGCUGCAUGGUGGGGGUUGGAAAGUUUCGGCGGUUGGGGAUGGACUCGCGGCUUCUCAGCUUGUUGGUGGGGUAGGGGCUUACCAAGGCUUUGACGGGUAGCCGGCCUGAGAGGGUGACCGGCGACAUGGGGACUGAGAUACGGAGCAGACGCCUACGGGAGGCAGCGGUGGGGAAUAUUGCAGAGUGGGCGGAAGCCUGAUGCAACGACGCCGCGUGCGGGAUGACGGCCUUCGGGUUGUAAACCGCUUUCGCCUGUGACGAAGCGUGAGUGACGGUAAUGGGUAAAGAAGCACCGGCUAACUACGUG